Molecule: ribosomal RNA, 945 nt
Filed under: Triticum aestivum (bread wheat)
Lineage: Eukaryota; Viridiplantae; Streptophyta; Magnoliopsida; Poales; Poaceae
Description: partial small subunit ribosomal RNA
Source: RNAcentral
AUGGCGACGCUCAAGGUCCCCUCCAACGUCCCGGCCCUCGCCGACGACUGCGACAACCUCCGCAAGGCCUUCCAAGGGUGGGGCACGAACGAGGCGCUCAUCAUCUCCAUCCUGGGCCACCGCGACGCCGCGCAGCGCCGCGCCAUCCGCAAGCACUACGCCGACACCUACGGCGAGGAGCUGCUCCGGAGCAUCACCGACGAGAUCUCCGGCGACUUCGAGAGGGCCGUGAUCCUGUGGACGCUGGACCCGGCGGAGCGGGACGCGGUGCUCGCCAACGAGACCGCCAAGAAGUGGCACCCCGGGAACCCCGUGCUGGUCGAGAUCGCCUGCGCGCGCGGCUCCAAGCAGCUCUUCGCUGCCAGGCAGGCCUACCAUGACCGCUUCAAGCGCUCGCUCGAGGAGGACGUCGCUGCACACGUCACCGGCGACUUCCGCAAGCUGUUGGUGCCACUUGUAAGCUCACACCGCUAUGAGGGACCAGAGGUCAACACAAGGUUGGCUCAUUCAGAGGCCAAAUUACUGCAUGAGAAGAUUGAGCAUAAGGCUUAUGGUGAUGAUGAGGUCAUCAGAAUUCUCACCACUAGGAGCAAAGCUCAGCUGCUUGCAACAUUCAAUAAUUACAAUGAUACAUUUGGUCACCCAAUCACUAAGGAUCUGAAGGCUGACCCCAAGGAUGAGUUCCUCAAGACCCUGCGGGCUGUUAUCCGGUGCUUCACCUGCCCUGAUAGGUACUUUGAGAAGGUGGCCAGGCUGGCCAUUGCAGGGAAUGGAACAGAUGAGAACUCCCUCACUAGGGUCAUCACCACCCGUGCCGAGGUGGACCUGAAGCUGAUCAAAGAGGCGUACCAGAAGAGGAACAGUGUUCCCCUGGAGAAGGCCGUCGCAGGCGACACUUCCGGCGACUAUGAGAGCAUGCUCCUUGCCCUCCUGGGGAAGGAGUAG